AUUGAACGCUGGCGGCAUGCUUUACACAUGCCAGUCGAACGGUAACAGGCCGCAAGGUGCUGACGAGUGGCGAACGGGUGAGUAAUGCAUCGGAACGUGCCCAGUCGUGGGGGAUAACUACUCGAAAGAGUAGCUAAUACCGCAUACGAUCUAUGGAUGAAAGCGGGGGACCGUAAGGCCUCGCGCGAUUGGAGCGGCCGAUGUCAGAUUAGGUAGUUGGUGGGGUAAAGGCUCACCAAGCCAACGAUCUGUAGCUGGUCUGAGAGGACGACCAGCCACACUGGGACUGAGACACGGCCCAGACUCCUACGGGAGGCAGCAGUGGGGAAUUUUGGACAAUGGGCGCAAGCCUGAUCCAGCAAUGCCGCGUGCAGGAAGAAGGCCUUCGGGUUGUAAACUGCUUUUGUACGGAACGAAACGGCUCUGGUUAAUACCCGGGGCUAAUGACGGUACCGUAAGAAAAAGCACCGGCUAACUACGUG
Molecule: ribosomal RNA, 482 nt
Filed under: uncultured bacterium
Lineage: Bacteria
Description: partial 16S ribosomal RNA
Rfam family: Bacterial small subunit ribosomal RNA
Source: RNAcentral